RNAcentral lists this ribosomal RNA (479 nucleotides) under uncultured bacterium. RNAcentral describes it as "partial 16S ribosomal RNA". It matches the Rfam family "Bacterial small subunit ribosomal RNA", at positions 28 to 507 of the family's 1533-position model. The record is from RNAcentral.
GAUGAACGCUAGCGGGAGGCCUAACACAUGCAAGCCGAGCGGUAUUGUUUCUUCGGAAAUGAGAGAGCGGCGUAUGGGUGCGUAACACGUGUGCAACCUGCCUUUAUCUGGGGGAUAGCCUUUCGAAAGGAAGAUUAAUACUCCAUAAUAUAUUGAACGGCAUCGUUUAAUAUUGAAAGCUCCGGCGGAUAGAGAUGGGCACGCGCAAGAUUAGCUAGUUGGCGAGGUAACGGCUCACCAAGGCGAUGAUCUUUAGGGGGCCUGAGAGGGUGAUCCCCCACACUGGUACUGAGACACGGACCAGACUCCUACGGGAGGCAGCAGUGAGGAAUAUUGGUCAAUGGGUGCAAGCCUGAACCAGCCAUCCCGCGUGAAGAACGACUGCCCUAUGGGUUGUAAACUUCUUUUGUAUAGGGAUAAACCUACCCUCGAGAGGGUAGCUGAAGGUACUAUACGAAUAAGCACCGGCUAACUCCGUG